UGGGGAAUAUUGGACAAUGGGCGAAAGCCUGAUCCAGCCAUGCCGCGUGUGUGAAGAAGGUCUUCGGAUUGUAAAGCACUUUAAGUUGGGAGGAAGGGCAGUAAGCGAAUACCUUGCUGUUUUGACGUUACCGACAGAAUAAGCACCGGCUAACUCUGUGCCAGCAGCCGCGGUAAUACAGAGGGUGCAAGCGUUAAUCGGAAUUACUGGGCGUAAAGCGUGCGUAGGCGGCUAAUUGAGUCGGAUGUGAAAUCCCCGAGCUUAACUUGGGAAUUGCAUUCGAUACUGGUUAGCUAGAGUGUGGGAGAGGAUGGUAGAAUUCCAGGUGUAGCGGUGAAAUGCGUAGAGAUCAGGAGGAAUACCGAUGGCGAAGGCAGCCAUCUGGCCUAACACUGACGCUGAGGUACGAAAGCAUGGGGAGCAAACAGG
Molecule: ribosomal RNA, 429 nt
Filed under: Pseudomonadota bacterium
Lineage: Bacteria; Pseudomonadati; Pseudomonadota
Description: Proteobacteria bacterium partial 16S ribosomal RNA
Rfam family: Bacterial small subunit ribosomal RNA
Source: RNAcentral